UGAGGAAUAUUGCGCAAUGGGGGCAACCCUGACGCAGCAACGCCGCGUGAGUGAGGAAGGUUUUCGGACCGUAAAGCUCUGUCGAGCGGGAAGAAAUGCAUGGUGGCUACUAUCCAUCAUGCUUGACGGUACCGCUAAAGGAAGCACCGGCUAACUCCGUGCCAGCAGCCGCGGUAAUACGGGGGGUGCGAGCGUUGUUCGGAUUUAUUGGGCGUAAAGAGCGUGUAGGCGGCCGAAUAAGUCAGAUGUGAAAUCCCUGGGCUUAACCCAGGACGUGCAUUUGAAACUAUUCGGCUAGAGGAGGGGAGAGGAAAGUGGAAUUCCUGGUGUAGAGGUGAAAUCCGUAGAUAUCAGGAGGAACACCGGUGGCGAAGGCGACUUUCUGGCCCUAUACUGACGCUGAGACGCGAGAGCGUGGGUAGCAAA
This 426-nucleotide ribosomal RNA is filed under the name uncultured bacterium. RNAcentral describes it as "bacterial SSU rRNA". It matches the Rfam family "Bacterial small subunit ribosomal RNA", at positions 355 to 772 of the family's 1533-position model. The record is from RNAcentral.